ACUCCCAAACCCAUGUGAACUUACCUUCUGUUGCCUCGGCAGGUCGGGUUUACCCUGUGAGGUCUUACCCUGUAAGACCCUACCUGGUAGACCCGGGUACGCCUGCCGGUGGCCCAUGAAACUCUGUUUAUUCUAUGUUAUUCUGAAUCUAUAACUAAAUAAGUUAAAACUUUCAACAACGGAUCUCUUGGUUCUGGCAUCGAUGAAGAACGCAGCGAAAUGCGAUAAGUAAUGUGAAUUGCAGAAUUCAGUGAAUCAUCGAAUCUUUGAACGCACAUUGCGCCCAUUAGUAUUCUAGUGGGCAUGCCUGUUCGAGCGUCAUUUCAACCCUUAAGCCCCUGUUGCUUAGCGUUGGGAGCCUACAGCCUUCUGUAGCUCCCCAAAGUUAGUGGCGGAGUCGGUUUCCACUCUAGACGUAGUAGAUUCUAUCUCGUCUGUAGUGAGGCCGGUCCCCUGCCGUAAAACCCCCCUAAUUUUAAAGGUUGACCUCGGAUCAGGUAGGAAUACCCGCUGAACUUAAGCAUAUCAAGCCGGGGAGAGGAGAAACCUUAAAGAGUUAAUUACAACUCCCAAACCCAUGUGAACUUACCUUCUGUUGCCUCGGCAGGUCGGGUUUACCCUGUGAGGUCUUACCCUGUAAGACCCUACCUGGUAGACCCGGGUACGCCUGCCGGUGGCCCAUGAAACUCUGUUUAUUCUAUGUUAUUCUGAAUCUAUAACUAAAUAAGUUAAAACUUUCACAACGGAUCUCUUGGUUCUGGCAUCGAUGAAGAACGCAGCGAAAUGCGAUAAGUAAUGUGAAUUGCAGAAAUUCAGUGAAUCAUCGAAUCUUUUG
RNAcentral lists this ribosomal RNA (835 nucleotides) under Xylaria hypoxylon. RNAcentral's name for it is "eukaryotic LSU rRNA". The stretch from base 168 to 321 matches the Rfam family "5.8S ribosomal RNA". Lineage: Eukaryota; Fungi; Ascomycota; Sordariomycetes; Xylariales; Xylariaceae. The record is from RNAcentral.